AUGUCCUUUAUAUAGUGUCUAACCAUCCAAAUGUUAUGUUGACAUUCAGUCCAGCAAAAAAAAGAAAAAAAGUUGACAUUCUGAGGCAAUGAGCAAGCUGUCUUGCCGCUCAAGGGUUUCAUUAGUUUCCUCGCAUAAUCUUUGUGUCAAAAAGAUACGACCAUGCCAAGGACGGGUCAGUGAUAUGGAGGGUUUGUACAAGAUAUCCUGUAAUUGGUCAGCAUUGUUUUCACCAUAACUUAUGAUCUUCACCUUCGUCCGCCCGCUGCAUUUAGUUUUCUCUGCAUGCAAUUGAAAGAAACACGCAUGUAUUCACCAGAAAUAUAUAUGUGGGUGUGUGUGUACAGUACAGUUGUUCCCCCUAGCAGCUGAAGAGAGGGAGGAGAGGCUUUUCCCCUUUCGUUUCCGCAUAGGAGCUGAAGGGAGGGAGGAGACGAGGAGGGAAGACUAAAUCCAGCUCGGGGGAUCCCGAUCUCGCCGUUUCGCAGCUGAGCUCCGGUGAUCUGCCUGCAACUCGCCGGCCUUCACUUCAAUUGGGGAUUGGGGUUUUGCCCUUUUGAGUUGGACUUCUGUGGAGGAAUCAGAUCUGACGUUAACGAUUUCACGAGCUGUUUUUUUCAGUUCACAGCCUCCCAUGCGCGAAGAAGAAGAAUGAGAUCGUUUUCCUGGUAGAUAGUGGAAGUAUUUUCGAGAUAAUUUCCCUGGAAGAAGCAGUGAUAGUGGUAGUGAAUAUGGGGACUGGUUAAGGUUGGAUUAGAGUAUGCAUGCCUGGUCGGGCUGCAAGUCGCACCAGGUCCAAGAUGAAACCGACAAUUGCUCCUCCUGGUCCUUCAACACAAUGUGCUACUGCAGGUCUCUCUCCUGAUCAUCCGAAGUAAAAGAAACAAAAGA
Punica granatum (pomegranate) is the source of this 891-nucleotide non-coding RNA. Lineage: Eukaryota; Viridiplantae; Streptophyta; Magnoliopsida; Myrtales; Lythraceae. The record is from RefSeq and is a predicted model, not a curated record.